RNAcentral lists this ribosomal RNA (451 nucleotides) under uncultured bacterium. RNAcentral's name for it is "bacterial SSU rRNA". It matches the Rfam family "Bacterial small subunit ribosomal RNA", at positions 29 to 524 of the family's 1533-position model. The record is from RNAcentral.
AACGAACGCUGGCGGCAUGCCUAACACAUGCAAGUCGAACGAGACCUUCGGGUCUAGUGGCGCACGGGUGCGUAACGCGUGGGAACCUGCCUUUAGGUUCGGAAUAACUCAGAGAAAUUUGAGCUAAUACCGGAUAAUGUCUUCGGACCAAAGAUUUAUCGCCUUUAGAUGGGCCCGCGUUGGAUUAGCUAGUUGGUGGGUAAGCCUACCAAGGCGACGAUCCAUAGCUGGUCUGAGAGGAUGAUCAGCCACACUGGGACUGAGACACGGCCCAGACUCCUACGGGAGGCAGCAGUGGGGAAUAUUGGACAAUGGGCGGAAGCCUGAUCCAGCAAUGCCGCGUGUGUGAAGAAGGUCUUCGGAUCGUAAAAGCACUUUCGACAGGGACGAUGAUGACGGUACCUGUAGAAGAAGCCCCGGGCCUAAACUUCGUGCCAGCAGCCGCGGUAAU